Molecule: ribosomal RNA, 336 nt
Filed under: Triticum aestivum (bread wheat)
Lineage: Eukaryota; Viridiplantae; Streptophyta; Magnoliopsida; Poales; Poaceae
Description: partial small subunit ribosomal RNA
Source: RNAcentral
AUGGGCGCCGACAAGGGGAGGACCUCGGUGCAGUUCGACGACUUCCUGCCGUCGAUGGCGAGGAAGCUCGGCGCGGAGGGGCUGAUCCAGGAGCUCUGCAAGGGGUUCCAGCUGCUCAUGGACCCCAGGGCCGGCAGGAUCACCUUCCAGAGCCUCAAGAGGAACGCGGCCAGGCUGGGGCUCGGCGAGCUCCGGGACGACGAGCUCCAGGAGAUGAUGAGGGAGGGGGACAUGGACGGGGACGGCGCCCUGGAUCAGACAGAGUUCUGCGUUCUCAUGGUCAGGCUCAGCCCUGAGCUCAUGGAGCAAGAGUCGCAUAGGAUGUUUGAAUGUUGA